UAGGGAUACCCGCUGAACUUAAGCAUAUCAAU
RNAcentral lists this ribosomal RNA (32 nucleotides) under Aspergillus aculeatus. RNAcentral describes it as "partial 28S ribosomal RNA". The record is from RNAcentral. Lineage: Eukaryota; Fungi; Ascomycota; Eurotiomycetes; Eurotiales; Aspergillaceae.